RNAcentral lists this ribosomal RNA (1303 nucleotides) under metagenome. RNAcentral's name for it is "bacterial LSU rRNA". It matches the Rfam family "Bacterial large subunit ribosomal RNA", at positions 1600 to 2925 of the family's 2925-position model. The record is from RNAcentral.
GCCAGCUGCCAAGAAAAGCCGCUAUUGUUUGUACUGUACCCGUACCGUAAACCGACACAGGUAGGUGAGGAGAGAAUCCUAAGGCCGACGGGAGAAGCAUUGUUAAGGAACUCGGCAAAAUGACUCCGUAACUUCGGGAGAAGGAGUGCCAGUGAGAGCUGGCCGCAGAGAAUUGGCCCAAGCAACUGUUUAGCAAAAACACAAGUCUAUGCAAAACCGUAAGGUGAAGUAUAUGGGCUGACGCCUGCCCGGUGCUGGAAGGUUAAGGGGAGAGGUUAGCGCAAGCGAAGCUUUGAACUUAAGCCCCAGUAAACGGCGGCCGUAACAAUAACGGUCCUAAGGUAGCGAAAUUCCUUGUCGGGUAAGUUCCGACCCGCACGAAAGGCGUAAUGAUUUGGGCACUGUCUCAACAAUGCACCCGGUGAAAUUGAAAUACCAGUGAAGAUGCUGGUUACCUGCGCCAGGACGGAAAGACCCCAUGGAGCUUUACUCCAGCUUGAUACUGGGAUUCGAUAUUGUAUGUACAGGAUAGGUGGGAGGCGAAGAAGCAUUGACGCCAGUUGAUGCGGAGCCGCUGUUGGGAUACCACCCUUGCAGUAUUGGAUUUCUAACCAGCAGCCGUGACCCGGCUGGGGGACAAUGUCAGGGGGAGUUUGACUGGGGCGGUCGCCUCCGAAAGGGUAUCGGAGGCGCUCAAAGGUUCCCUCAGAAUGGUUGGAAACCAUUCGAAGAGUGCAAAGGCAGAAGGGAGCUUGACUGCGACACCGACGGGUGGAGCAGGUACGAAAGUAGGACUUAGUGAUCCGGUGGUAUAAAGUGGGAUUGCCAUCGCUCAACUGAUAAAAGCUACCCUGGGAUAACAGGCUUAUCACUCCCAAGAGUUCACAUCGACGGAGUGGUUUGGCACCUCGAUGUCGGCUCAUCGCAUCCUGGGGCUGAAGUAGGUCCCAAGGGUUGGGCUGUUCGCCCAUUAAAGCGGUACGCGAGCUGGGUUCAGAACGUCGUGAGACAGUUCGGUCCCUAUCCGGCGUGGGCGUAGGUUAUUUGAGAGGAGCUGGCCUUAGUACGAGAGGACCGGGCUGGACUGACCGCUGGUGUAUCUGUUGUUCCGCCAGGAGCAUGGCAGAGUAGCCAAGUCAGGAAGGGAUAAACGCUGAAGGCAUCUAAGCGUGAAGCCCCCCUCAAGAUGAGAUAUCCCAACGAAAGUUGUAAGACCCCUUGAAGACGACAAGGUAGAUAGGGCAGAGGUGGAAGUGCAGUAAUGCAUGGAGCUGACUGUUACUAAUCGGUCGAGGGCAUAACC